This 497-nucleotide ribosomal RNA is filed under the name uncultured bacterium. RNAcentral's name for it is "partial 16S ribosomal RNA". It matches the Rfam family "Bacterial small subunit ribosomal RNA", at positions 28 to 507 of the family's 1533-position model. The record is from RNAcentral.
GAUGAACGCUGGCGGCGUGCCUAAUACAUGCAAGUCGAGCGAACAGACGAGGAGCUUGUUCCUCUGACGUUAGCGGCGGACGGGUGAGUAACACGUGGAUAACCUACCUAUAAGACUGGGAUAACUUCGGGAAACCGGAGCUAAUACCGGAUAAUAUAUUGAACCGCAUGGUUCAAUAGUGAAAGACGGUUUUGCUGUCACUUAUAGAUGGAUCCGCGCCGCAUUAGCUAGUUGGUAAGGUAACGGCUUACCAAGGCAACGAUGCGAAGCCGACCUGAGAGGGUGAUCGGCCACACGGGAACUGAGACACGGUCCAGACUCCUACGGGAGGCAGCAGUAGGGAAUCUUCCGCAAUGGGGGAAAGCCUGACGGGGCAACGCCGCGUGAGUGAUGAAGGUCUUCGGAUCGUAAAACUCUGUUAUUAGGGAAGAACAAAUGUGUAAGUAACUAUGCACGUCUUGACGGUACCUAAUCAGAAAGCCACGGCUAACUACGUG